Strigops habroptila (Kakapo) is the source of this 2272-nucleotide long non-coding RNA. The record is from Ensembl. NCBI's taxonomy places the organism in Eukaryota, Metazoa, Chordata, Aves, Psittaciformes, Psittacidae.
GGGAUUAUUUUUGUCUGCACAUGCUGCAAAGGGACAGAUUGAGCCACAUUUCAAUAUGCUUGUCUCUUCCACUUGCUCACUUCAAUUCUGCCCGAGCAGUCUUGUAGUUAAUAUUUGUAUAUUCAGUUCAAUUCUGCUCUUGAACCAGAGGAGACCAAUACUGGUCUCUUCUGACAGAAAUACUUGAUGCUUUUUGAUUUUUAAAUAUUGCUGAGUGAAUGACAUGAUGGAUGAGAAAGUAAAUAGUAAUACAUUUGUGUGCUGGUUUUGGCUGGAGUAGAGUUAAUUUACUUCAUAGCAGCUGGUAUGGGGCUAUGUUUUGGAUUUGUGUUGGAAACAGUGUUGAUAAUAUAGGGAUGUUUUCCUUACUGCUGAGCAGUGCUCACUCAGUCAAGGCCUUUUCUGCUUCUCACCCCACCCCACCAGUGAGCAGGCUGGGGAUGCACAGGAAGUUGGGAGGGGACACAGCCAGGACAGCUGACCCCAACUGACCAAAGGGAUGUUCCAUGCUAUGUGAUGUCAUGCUCACCCUAUAAAGAGGGGGGAAGAAGAAGGAAGGGGGGAUGUUCAGAGUGAUGGUGUUUGUCUUCCCAAGUAGCCGUUACGUGUGACGGAGCCCAGCGUUCCUGGAGAUGGCUGAACACCUGCCUGACCAUGGGAAGUGGUGAAUGAAUUCCUUGUUUUGCUUUGCUUCUGUGGGCAGCUUUUGCUUUACCUAUUGAACUGUUUUUAUCUCAAAGCAUGAGUUUUCUCACUUUUACCCUUCCAGUCCUCUCCCCCAUCCCACCAUGAGGAGUGAGCGAGCAGCUGUGUGGGGCUUAGCACCAGCUGGGAUUAAACCACGACAAUUUGUUUGUGUAAAUUUGGUCAGAUAUUUUGAUGCUGUAGAGACUAAUAAAUUGAGAUAAGCCAUGGCGAAAGGCCAAAUGGAUCCAACUGUCCUGUUCCUGCUUAAGUCCAUGACCGUUCCACAGGGAGAGCUUUAUCUCUGUUCCCUCAGGCUGUUUCUACAUUGCAGUGUACAGUAGAGAUACCAGAUCUAACCUUCGAUAAGCUACCAUGGGCAGACUAACUGCAGCAGCAUGGAGUUCAGCACAUUCUGUGUCUUGGUAAAACCAGAUACCUCUUUAGAUGAAUGCUUUGUGAGCAAACCUACAUAUUCUAAGGAAGACUUUUAUGACUCUGAAAGGAGAGGGAUGACUAUGAAUUAAAUUAAUUUAGUCCUCAUAUUUUUCUUAUGGCUGUCUACAAUUGCUAGUGUCCUGCGUGUAGCUGCCUAUAGCUAUUGUGAUGUGUUAAUUCCAUCCCCUCCAGGUUCUGUUGUGAGCAAAUCUGGUGAUACUCUGAGUCUCCAGCCAGUUCUCAGUCAGGCAAAGCCCAUGGAAAAGACUCUAGUCAGGAAGAUUAGACUCUAGUCAGGAAGACUGAGGGCAGCUCUUGCUGCAUUCUUUGGGAGCAUGUAACUGCAGAGCGACAUGUUAAACCUACCUGGUGACUAAAAUUAAUUAACUAAAAUCUUGAGGAAUUAAGCAAUUAAAGAACCUGAGCAGCACAUCUGGGGUCAGAAUCAUAUUGGGAUGCUUAAUACAUAGUGAGAACUUGGGGUCAGUCCCUAAAAGACAGGACCAUUCGGGGCGCUCAGAUCUACACUUCUUGUCAGAUUUGGAGAAGGAAGAGGGGCUCAGAUCCAGCCUUUCGGGCAGGGCUGACUCACUCAAUGGAUUGAGUCAGAGAGAGGCGCUUCUCCAGAUCAUGUCCUGGGCCAAAAGACAAGACAAGCUGCAGCUUAGGAAGUUCACUUCUUUAAGACGUUUUCUUUUUAAAGGAGAAAGCAGUUCAAACUGCACCUGGCAAAAUGACUGACUUCAAAAGCAUGUUUUUCCUUGUAUAUAGACACUCACAAAACAGCGUUGUGUGGUUAAAAAGGUGAGUUUGUGGUAGUUUCUUUUUCAGUGCCAAAAUAUAUAAGCAGUAUUGUUUGAAGGGAAAUAAGAAUUUUUUUACUGUAUUGUUAUUACUGUUGAACAAAUAUUGUUUUAAAUGUUAGAUUUUGAAGACUUUUGUAUUGUAAACUGUUUUGUGACAUGGUGCUUUUUCAUACUGGAAUUACUAAUUGCACCUAAAUAUGAAUUUUUGUUUUCUUAUAUAAAUAUGUAACCUUGAACAAUCUUGAUGAAAACCAAUGUAUGGUGGAUACCAAUGGUUCAAACCAAUUCUCCUACUGAAAUCCCCUAAAUGUUCUUUCCUACUAAUAAACAUUCUGCUGCAGCUA